UCCCUUAGUAGCGGCGAGCGAACAGGGAAAAGUCCAGCGCCGAAUUCCGCGCCUUUCACGGGUGUCUGGAAAAUGUGGCGUUUAGGAGGGAGCGUGCCGGUGCGUGACUCUGCAGCAAGUCCCCCUGACCGGGGCUGUUUCCCAUAGUGGGUGCGAGGCCCAUAGCUGCUAAGUCUCCUCGGGAUGCGACCUCUUGGGAGUCGGGUUGCUUGAGAGUGCAGCCCUAAUCGGGUGGUAAACUCCACCUAAGACUAAAUACGGCCGCGAGACCGAUAGCAAACAAGUACCGUGAGGGAAAGUUGCAAAGAACUUUGAAGAGAGAGUUCAAGAGUACGUGAAACUGCUCAGAGGUAAACAGGUGGGCCCUCGAAAUCCUGUGGUGGGAGGGUUCAGUCGGAAUAGGCGGAUGUGUGCGCCGGAGGGACCGGUUCUUCGGGCUGGUUCCGGUAUCGCACUGUUUCUACCUUGCCUGACGCAAUUCCUCCCGCCCUAAUGGACGUCGCGGCCAGUUGGGUUUUUUAAGACGGCCUUAAGGGCGGACGACGGCAGGUGACCGGUGGCGAGACUCGUUCUUUUCGCCGGUUGUUAGCCAGUCUGUCUGUGGCUCGUCACCCGACUGAGGUUUUGACGGGGCCCGUUUUAUGGGCCCCUUUGCCGUCUCCUCCCCCUUUGAGGUAGCGGAAGGAUGUCGACAGACGUUCAGCGGCGGUCGACGUUUCACUGGAUCAUACCGUGUCCGUCGCGCCGAAGUCUUUGGUGGUUGGCACGAGUCCGCGGGAGUGCU
RNAcentral lists this ribosomal RNA (784 nucleotides) under Zearchaea sp. LB-2014a. RNAcentral's name for it is "partial 28S ribosomal RNA". It matches the Rfam family "Eukaryotic large subunit ribosomal RNA", at positions 76 to 632 of the family's 3401-position model. The record is from RNAcentral. Lineage: Eukaryota; Metazoa; Arthropoda; Arachnida; Araneae; Mecysmaucheniidae.